Molecule: long non-coding RNA, 415 nt
Organism: Sinocyclocheilus rhinocerous
Lineage: Eukaryota; Metazoa; Chordata; Actinopteri; Cypriniformes; Cyprinidae
Exons: 3
Source: RefSeq, a predicted model, not a curated record
UUGUGACGCUGCUCUCUUGUGACACACCUGGAAUAUAAACCAUCAGCAGCAGAGCAGUGUGUGCAUCUACAGCAAGUGAACCGGGCUGAACCAGCGCUGCUUAAAACAAGAGAACAUCAAGCAGGAGUGACACCGUUUAAAUAGAUCGGGCUCUCCAGGACAAGGCGGAAAGAAAAACAUGCCUCUUUUGUCAAAGCCAGACAAAGCCCCACAGACCUUAAAGUGGGCAAUUCAAAAUUCUGAAGGCUGGACUUCUGCUUUCCAGCCUGUCUUCUCUUAUCUCCAGUCAUCCGAGAGGCUUCUGCCAGCCUGCGAGCUGUCAAAGUAGCCCUGGAAUCAAACGCCACUCCAUGCUCAGCUAUGAUCAAAGGAACACAGGUAAGGCAGCCACAGAGACACAUACAAUUGGCAUCUA